RNAcentral lists this transfer RNA (67 nucleotides) under Neolema sp. EMHAU-15071012. RNAcentral's name for it is "tRNA-Asp". The record is from RNAcentral. Lineage: Eukaryota; Metazoa; Arthropoda; Insecta; Coleoptera; Chrysomelidae.
AAAAAUUUAGUUAAAAUCUAUAUAACAUUAGCUUGUCAAGCUAAAUUUAUCUAAUUGAUAAUUUUUU